AGGAGGAGACACUGUCUACACGCA
Molecule: non-coding RNA, 24 nt
Filed under: Arabidopsis thaliana (thale cress)
Lineage: Eukaryota; Viridiplantae; Streptophyta; Magnoliopsida; Brassicales; Brassicaceae
Source: RNAcentral